GGAAGUUUCGAAAAGAGUCUGGAAUCUAUAAAUUUUUCUGCUCUCAAUGCUAGAAAGGUUAUAGAAGGUUGUAUUGAAAGCUUGUCAAUUGAUGGACAAGAUAUAGGGGGGGAAAUCAGUCAAAAAUCGAGUAAGAAGAAGAAGGAGCCGGGUAAAUAUGGCUUCGACUUCUUUCAGAUUGCUGCUGGUCUGUUUCAAGCAAAGUCGGGUUCGAAGUCUACUAAAAUGAAAGAUCA
This 236-nucleotide unclassified non-coding RNA is filed under the name Hevea brasiliensis (rubber tree). The record is from RNAcentral. Lineage: Eukaryota; Viridiplantae; Streptophyta; Magnoliopsida; Malpighiales; Euphorbiaceae.